GUCUAGGGGGUGCAGCAAUGCAUCACCGGCGGACGGGUGCGUAACGCGUGGGAAUAUACCUAUUGGUUCGGAACAACUGCGGGAAACUGCAGCUAAUACCGAAUGUGCCCUUACGGGGAAAGAUUUAUCGCCAAUGGAUUAGCCCGCGUCCGAUUAGCUAGUUGGUGGGGUAAAAGCUCACCAAGGCUCCGAUCGGUAGCUGUUCUGAGAGGAAGAUCAGCCACACUGGGACUGAGACACGGCCCAGACUCCUACGGGAGGCAGCAGUUGGGAAUCUUGGACAAUGGGGGAAACCCUGAUCCAGCCAUGCCGCGUGAGUGAUGAAGGCCUUCGGGUUGUAAAACUCUUUCGACGGGGACGAUAAUGACGGUACCCGUAGAAGAAGCUCCGGCUAACUUCGUGCCAGCAGCCGCGGUAAUACGAAGGGGGCUAGCGUUGUUCGGAAUUACUGGGCGUAAAGCGCGCGCAGGCGGCUAUCCAAGUCAGUGGUGAAAGCCCGGAGCUCAACUCCGGAACUGCCAUUGAAACUGUUUAGCUUGAGGAUGAGAGAGGUGAGUGGAAUUCCCAGUGUAGAGGUGAAAUUCGUAGAUAUUGGGAAGAACACCGGUGGCGAAGGCGGCUCACUGGCUCAUUACUGACGCUCAGGCGCGAUAGCGUGGGGAUCAAACAGGAUUAGAUACCCUGGUAGUCCACGCCGUAAACGAUGAAUGCUAGCCGUUGGGCAGCUUGCCGUUCAGUGGCGCAGCUAACGCAUUAAGCAUUCCGCCUGGGGGAGUACGGCCGCAGGUUGAAACUCAAAGGAAUUGACGGGGGCCCGCACAAGCGGUGGAAGCAUGUGGUUUAAUCGACGCACCGCGC
RNAcentral lists this ribosomal RNA (858 nucleotides) under uncultured bacterium. Its description in RNAcentral is "bacterial SSU rRNA". It matches the Rfam family "Bacterial small subunit ribosomal RNA", at positions 61 to 964 of the family's 1533-position model. The record is from RNAcentral.